RNAcentral lists this ribosomal RNA (1439 nucleotides) under uncultured bacterium. RNAcentral describes it as "bacterial SSU rRNA". It matches the Rfam family "Bacterial small subunit ribosomal RNA". The record is from RNAcentral.
CUACAGGCUUAACACAUGCAAGUCGAGGGGCAGCAUGGUCUUAGCUUGCUAAGGCCGAUGGCGACCGGCGCACGGGUGAGUAACACGUAUCCAACCUGCCGUCUACUCUUGGACAGCCUUCUGAAAGGAAGAUUAAUACAAGAUGGCAUCAUGAGUCCGCAUGUUCACAUGAUUAAAGGUAUUCCGGUAGACGAUGGGGAUGCGUUCCAUUAGAUAGUAGGCGGGGUAACGGCCCACCUAGUCUUCGAUGGAUAGGGGUUCUGAGAGGAAGGUCCCCCACAUUGGAACUGAGACACGGUCCAAACUCCUACGGGAGGCAGCAGUGAGGAAUAUUGGUCAAUGGGCGAGAGCCUGAACCAGCCAAGUAGCGUGAAGGAUGACUGCCCUAUGGGUUGUAAACUUCUUUUAUAAAGGAAUAAAGUCGGGUAUGGAUACCCGUUUGCAUGUACUUUAUGAAUAAGGAUCGGCUAACUCCGUGCCAGCAGCCGCGGUAAUACGGAGGAUCCGAGCGUUAUCCGGAUUUAUUGGGUUUAAAGGGAGCGUAGAUGGAUGUUUAAGUCAGUUGUGAAAGUUUGCGGCUCAACCGUAAAAUUGCAGUUGAUACUGGAUAUCUUGAGUGCAGUUGAGGCAGGCGGAAUUCGUGGUGUAGCGGUGAAAUGCUUAGAUAUCACGAAGAACUCCGAUUGCGAAGGCAGCCUGCUAAGCUGCAACUGACAUUGAGGCUCGAAAGUGUGGGUAUCAAACAGGAUUAGAUACCCCGGUAGUCCACACGGUAAACGAUGAAUACUCGCUGUUUGCGAUAUACUGCAAGCGGCCAAGCGAAAGCGUUAAGUAUUCCACCUGGGGAGUACGCCGGCAACGGUGAAACUCAAAGGAAUUGACGGGGGCCCGCACAAGCGGAGGAACAUGUGGUUUAAUUCGAUGAUACGCGAGGAACCUUACCCGGGCUUAAAUUGCAGAUGAAUUACGGUGAAAGCCGUAAGCCGCAAGGCAUCUGUGAAGGUGCUGCAUGGUUGUCGUCAGCUCGUGCCGUGAGGUGUCGGCUUAAGUGCCAUAACGAGCGCAACCCUUGUUGUCAGUUACUAACAGGUUCCGCUGAGGACUCUGACAAGACUGCCAUCGUAAGAUGUGAGGAAGGUGGGGAUGACGUCAAAUCAGCACGGCCCUUACGUCCGGGGCUACACACGUGUUACAAUGGGGGGUACAGAGGGCCGCUACCACGCGAGUGGAUGCCAAUCCCCAAAACCUCUCUCAGUUCGGACUGGAGUCUGCAACCCGACUCCACGAAGCUGGAUUCGCUAGUAAUCGCGCAUCAGCCACGGCGCGGUGAAUACGUUCCCGGGCCUUGUACACACCGCCCGUCAAGCCAUGGGAGCCGGGGGUACCUGAAGUGCGUAACCGCGAGGAGCGCCCUAGGGUAAAACUGGUGACUGGGGCUA